GGAUGCGAGAGGGGAGAGGGGGAAGUCCUGACACGCGCCAAUCACAUCAUGCUUCUUCGGUUGCAAACGUGUACCGAGCAGUACGCGGUUUAACAGAAAGAAGCGAGAGAGUGAUAGGGAGAGUGACAGGAUGGAGGCAUGCGGGACAAAGGGCGAGGGGAAGGAUGAUGCACGCGCGAUCGCGCUAGCUCGCUCGCCCGACGGCGCUCGCUCGUUCUCUCGCACGGACGCCGGGAAAGAUAGCAGAAAGUAGGACGCGUAUUAAAAACCACAGACCGUGUCCCGUGGCGUCACUUCUCGUGCCUCGCCGCGGCGCGUCGGUAUUACCCAAUCGAAUUCAUCAUAACUGGCACGAGAAACGUACGAGCGAGCAAAUGAACGAACGAAUCGACGGACAUAUGGAGACAUGGACGAGUUGUCGAAUUGAAAAAGAGAAAGGGAGGGGGACAACUAUACGCGACGUAUAAAAGAGAGAGGCAAUUUCGGUGAUAAGCGCGAUCAGCGCCAAGGCGCGGUGAUCGAUGGAAACACGGACGUCCAGUAUCUUACGAUCUAUGAUAAGACUUUCGAUUUCGAUGCGUCGAUCGCGAGAUCCGUGUAACGCCGCAGCCAAGCACUACGGUGAAUCGUGUUUUCUUAUUUUCAGUGUUUAGCCGAGGAGAAGAAACGAGUCGCUUCCUCUCAUUAUUGCAUUCCCAAACGAAAUUUUUGCACGCACAAGUUCCAGAGAAAUAUUACCCGAGUGCUAAAUUUAGCGACUGAUCGAAACGAGACCAACGCCGUGGUGCGGCGAUCGCGGGAAUUAUAAAAGGUGCGAGCGCGCCUCUUCCGCUCGAAUCAAUGAUCCUUAAUUACGUUUGGAAAUUAAGCUGACGCCAAAGUAUCGCGCAACGAGUAAAUGAAUUUUCCUAAGGAAUUAGGUCAUGCCCUUGAUGGGUUAUUCGUGAAAGCUUAAGGAAUGUCGGCGUCGACUAUACACGCUUCAUCGACUAUUAUUCGACGACGUUUAAGUAAGUACGAUCUGAUCUUCCAAUAUAAUCUUGCAAAUCCACCAAAAUUUCAUCUUUUCGGCAUGAACAAAUUUACAUUGGACAAGAUCGAACCAGUGAUCUAAGAAAUCGAUCGAAGAAACGGAGAAUGUUGUCGUUUGCGUAUCGAACGCUCGUAAAUUUAUCAAACUAUAUCGAUAAAGGUAAACAAAAGUUACAAAGAUGGUUCCCUUCUCUUAAAACUAUUACACCAGUCUAUUCAAUGCGCAUGGCUGAAUAAAUCGAACGUUUCCGCGAUGCUAAACAUUUUAACACCCCGGCUACUUUGAAUGUCGCGCGCAUGCGCCCAGUAGUACGGAUAGCAAUUCUUAUAUGCGAUCCUUUGGGCAAGCUUUUAGAUGUUGAUACCAUUGGGAGGGCGCCACAAGUUAGGAGAAGCAAUUUGGCGAUGCGAGAUAUGUACACGUAUAUGGUCUACUUUUCGAAGUCGGACCGCAUAGACGCGACUCGAGCGCGCAUUCAAAUACGUCUUGCUUUGCAUUUGCAAGUACAAUGAAAUUAUGCAAGCGUGUUAUAUUGCAAUUAUAUGUACUCGCAAUAAAUCGGUAAUAACGGAAUAAUAGCCGUUACUAAUACACUGGGAAUGCGAGCUGGGAUAUUUCCAACGGCAUACAUUUAGUAACGGUGAUCAUAACACGGAGACUUACGAUCCAAUAAUACAAUUUGUAAUACGGUACUACAGAAAAAAAUUGUUUUACGAUUACUUUAAAAAACGCACAUUACGAAUAAAUCUGUUAUACUUAUUGCAUAUACAGAAAUAAAUCUGCUAUACUUAGACUGCGAACGUUUAUGUAAUUUUAUUUUAUUAUGGGAAAUUUUAAUGUACAGUAACAUAACGUAACAUAGACGAUAUACAUAAUAUAAGAGUGAACACGAUACGAAAGAAUAUAUGUAAUAAGAAAAUAUGCAAAGUGAUACACCUGUCGUAAUAUUUAAAGACCAAACCUAAUUUUUCUUUACAAUGUAUGCUUGAUCGCUGUGUCUGUAAAAAUUUCAAUGUACAUAAACAUUUACAGUCUAGUUAUAACUAUUUCAAGUCUUGUCAGUGAAUUAUGUAAUUUCAUACGAUUAAAAGUAAUAAACGCACUUUUAUAAGAUGAGCAGUAUAGCUGAAACUUAUUUGUAAAACCAGUGGCACUGGAAUUCGAUCGUAUCGUGAUUACGAUACAAGAGGGUAAAAGGUGACGUGGACGCGAGGGAUGAAGGUUCGGCACCGAUAAAUUCGCCAACGUAUCUAUACCGGUGCUGUAGCCCGCUGGGGACGUUGAAUAAUAAUUAUUGUUGUUGGCUCGGCUUGGGUGUUAUUGAGUUAUUCCAAUGCGAGUUUAUCAAAGUGGGUCAAGCGAUUCAAUAGCGACCGCCGUGGAGGAGAAACGACCCAUCGUCUUAACGUGGCGUGGGAGUGUACGUAUAGUAGUGGAAUAACGUGCACACGAUCAAACACACACCGGCAAACGCUACCGAAUUGGUACACGUAUAAAAAGUGACGAACAACCAGACCGUAAAAUCGGUACCACUAUUACGAGGAACAAUUACAACGAUGAUAUCUCGUUUCUUUAUAUAAUUCGAAGAAAAUUGGUGGAAAAGAUUGGAUCAAUUUACUCGGAAAAAACAGGAACGCGGGAGGAACAGAAUUCGCGAAACGUAAAAUCGUUAUCUAAUUGAAAUCGUGGAAGAAACAAAUGUUGAUUCGGAGCUUGGUGCGAGUUAUAAUCUCAGUAACGAUUCCGUAUGUAUACAUUUGCUCUUCAAUCCGUAAAGUCCGCUAAUGACUCACUCAUUCCACCUUCCGUACGCUCAUUAUCCGUUGCUAAUUAUCAUAAAUCUCAGCUCAAUCACGAGAAUAGAAUGGCAAUGUUAAUCGACACCUUUUUGGACAAACAACGGUCACACGUAACCAACGUAAUUUCAUCACGGGAUUUUCACAAGUAGUUGAGAGAGAGAGAGAAUAAUUACCUGGCUUUCCAUUAGCAACAGGUAGAACGACGGACGAGCCAUAAAUUCCUUUAGGAAAGCGAGGAAACCGGAUUUUCUUCGCUCUUGGUGAGAGUUGGGACAACACUGUCAAUUGUUGCAUAAUAGGAACAACAAGAAUAAGAGGCGUGUGCCCUCGGUCAAACUGGCAAUAAACAAACAAAGAAUAUUUGACUGAGAUGUCACGGGUAAAUAAGUAAACUGACGACAAGUGAAAAUACAACCCAAGACCCGUGGAGAGAACCGAUGUCACGAGUCACGAGAGAACCGAAGAAAGUGAAGAAGGUCGCGUGUCUGUAUUGGAAGAUCGCUUUCGAAGUCACCGGAUGAUAUUGUUAAAGAAAAGCGAAGAAUUAUUAAGGAAGUUUGCCAUCAUUCACGCUACGCGUGUGAUUUACAUGUUAUUUAACCUUCCGUAAGCAAAGUGGGUUUGUUAUGUCCGAGUGUUUUUUUACUGUUAUUUAUUAUUAUAUUAUUACAUUAUUAUUUUACUCUUGCGAAUUAUUUUACUGUUUCCGAAUUGGAAAAGAUCCUGAAGCUAUCCUGAAAUAGUUAUCAAUGUUUUUACUACGCCAAACGUUUGAAAUAUUCCUCAAUAAAAAUAGACAUUCUUUUUGCAAAAAUUGUAGAAUGAAAUUUAAAUUAGAUUCUCAACUACUCGGUUUGCAUACGAAAGAUUAAAUGUACUAAGAAUAUGGAUAUCGAAAAUGAGACUUCCGGGGAAAUAACUGUUUGCAAGGUAUCAGAGGAUUAUAUUAUUCCUUCCAAAACCGUUUGGUAUUGAAUCGUCACAGACUCGAAUAUGUGUACUAAGCAUACUUUCAUACUAAUCAACCACUUUAGAUAUGGUUAGUUUCAAUGUAGUUACACGUCUUAAUGCAACAAGAAUCAAUUGUACAUAACCACUUGAAGUAACCACGUAGAAAAGAUUGUAUUACGAAAUGUCUUGUACAGAAGUUCUAUAUGCUUCCAAACGCAUGCACGAUGCGCUCGUAAAAAGGGUAGUACCUAAAGAAUAUGUAAAGCAGGUUAAACGAUGUAUCGGAGACACAGCCUUGAAUAUUCAUGAAUACUGAACAACUUUUUUGGAAUGGUAUCACAUUUAAAUUCCACUCGUCCUCUAGUACCGCGUUCUGCGCUCUAUUUGUAAGCAUGCACUUUGCACUUUGCUUAACACACGCGUUUCCUAUUGUCGUUACAAUGUUCAAAAAUCAUUCCCUAUCAUUUUUCAAGAGAAAAAAUAUCUAGCGUAAAAAAAAGAAGGGACCUAGGGUAAAAUCUGUAUCUGUGUCCUGUAGGUCUAUUUCGUGCCCCUUACUGUGCGAAUAAUCGUGAUUUAUUGUGUGCAAACAGCAGACCCAACUUUCAACGGAAAUGUAACAAGUGAAUUUCGACGCAGCAGGUAGAUGUUGACGCGGUCUAUUGUCGGAAAGGGUGUAUACAUCGUUGAAAAAACCGACCCCAUCCAUUCGACAAGGGAUUGCGACGAAUUCGUGCCGGCCACGUGCCGCCACGCUUACGAAAACCCGAGAAAGCUGCAAUCUCUUUUUCCACGACACGUUUCCUACUCGGAACAGUACAUAGUAAAAGUAAAAGCGACAGCCAACUUUUACGGGACUAAUACUUUACCUCUAUCUAACAAGGGCAGAAGGACAUCCACGACAAUGGUCAAUGUUACUCGUAAUAUUUCUUCAAGGGAAGUACUCUAUUUGGAGUGAAAUACGAUCAUUAUAAAAUUACGAAAAUUGUCUCCUUGAUUCUACGAUGAUAGAAUGAUACUGGUGGUUGGUGAUCAAGCUCGGCUCUGUAUCGCGGACGAAUUGCCACGCUCGAGUAGAUUUAACACCGGCUGCGCAAGUACCGGUAGCUGUUCGAAACGGGAGCGUUAAUUGUAAACGCGGCUAAAGGGGACGCUGGACAAAGAACGAACAACGUGACGGAAAAGGAGAAAAAAAAAAAAAAAGGAAAAAAGAGAAGGCAGGGAACAAAAAGAAACGAAAGAACGACGGGAAAAACAAACGAAAUAGAACGGACGAUCGUAAGCCGAGAAAAUAGAGUGCAAACUGCCCUUGACGCGAACGAGAAGCAGAGCUUGUAUCUUUGUAACAAGCCCGCGUAAUCGCGCAAUGCCGCCAAUGCCACAAUGCAGCUAAUUAUCAGCAUUAAUGCUGGCGAGAGUCAUGAAUAUUCAUACUUGACAUCUUUAUCGAGCAGCGGGAAAUUGGAGUCGUUAUACGCGGGCCUCCUUUUUGACCCACCUAUCCACGCGAAUCGAUAUGUGACCCGUGCCACGGUUAAGGAAAUUAAAACUUCUCCCCUACUAUGUAUAUACUCCUAUGUAUAUCUACAAUUUUCUUUAAUCUCGUGUAAAAUAUUGCGUGAGCCAGAAUAGUUGUAGAGAUUAGAAGAAGGAAUGGAUGUAUGAGAAAGAGUGGAGGAGUGGACUCGUGCGAAUGACAAAGAGGGAGUGUGCAAUUAAAUUAUAAGAUUAAAUUUAAGUAAUUAAAUAUAAAGUAAAUAGAGUACAGUUAAGUGUAAGUUUAAGUGUGUAUAUAUAUUAUAUAUUUAUUUACAUUAUAUAUUUUAUAUUACAUACUACAUUAUAUAUAUAUGUAUAAUGAUCUAAUGUAUAUAGAGACUGCAUAACAGUGUGAAUGAAACAUCUAUGUAAAUCAAUCUCAGUUUUUAACGGGCAAAAAUUAAUAAUAUAUAUGUAUAUACACCGUUAACAUAAAUUCGUGGUACGAGUGCAAAAUAAGGCAAAAAUGAAGGGUAACAAAAUU
Bombus pascuorum is the source of this 5806-nucleotide long non-coding RNA. RefSeq lists it as uncharacterized. NCBI's taxonomy places the organism in Eukaryota, Metazoa, Arthropoda, Insecta, Hymenoptera, Apidae. The transcript is spliced from 3 exons. The record is from RefSeq and is a predicted model, not a curated record.